UUCCGACAAGAUUUAUGUUAAUCAUGUUGUGCUGUACUGGAUAUAAAGUUGGCAUAAAGUCACUCUUUAUUUGGUUUUUUUUUAGGUGACCUGGCAGAAGUGAACUGUGCUUUGCAUCUGCACCUCCCAUGCCUUUCGAUUCCAUUGCAAUUAUCUGUAACUGCAUUUGCUGCCUCCUAGAAGGACAACUUCAUAUUGAGGUCUCUGGAUCUUGUCAGACUUUGGUUUCUGAAUCAAACACAGAGACUCCUGGAUGAAGCUCUGAUAUGGAUCUAGGCAAUGUUGCAUCACACCUUUUAUCCCGUGUCUUUCUGUGGAACCUUCUUACACAGCUGCACAAUCUCCAAAUAGAUCUGGAUGUGGAGUGGUGCAGUGAUACGAAUGGAAGUCAGCUAACAGCUCUUUGCAAGGCUUGCUCCACUGUUAAGGAUUCCUUGGAGGCCGCUGGAAAGUGGUGUCAUUGUACAACUGUGGAGUAUGAGAGGGUGAGAUGGGAUGUGUUCAUUCACACUUUCAGACAUGUUGCUGAGCACAUGAUACAUCCCAGAUCUGAGAUAAAAACGAACGUUUUUCCUGUGCAAAUGGAAUAAGUUAUUUCAGUGAGAAGGAC
RNAcentral lists this long non-coding RNA (610 nucleotides) under Manacus vitellinus (golden-collared manakin). Its description in RNAcentral is "lncRNA (ENSMVIG00005011328.1)". The record is from RNAcentral. Lineage: Eukaryota; Metazoa; Chordata; Aves; Passeriformes; Pipridae.